This 253-nucleotide ribosomal RNA is filed under the name uncultured bacterium. RNAcentral's name for it is "partial 16S ribosomal RNA". It matches the Rfam family "Bacterial small subunit ribosomal RNA", at positions 524 to 776 of the family's 1533-position model. The record is from RNAcentral.
UAUGUAGGGGGCAAGCGUUGUCCGGAAUCAUUGGGCGUAAAGCGCGUGUAGGCGGCUCGGUAAGUCUGCUGUGAAAGUCCAGGGCUCAACCCUGGGAUGCCGGUGGAUACUGUCGAGCUCGAGUCCGGAAGAGGCAAGUGGAAUUCCUGGUGUAGCGGUGAAAUGCGCAGAUAUCAGGAGGAGCACCGAUGGCGAAGGCAGCUCGCUGGGACGUGACUGACGCUGAGACGCGAAAGCGUGGGGAGCAAACAGG